GACAGAGGGUGCAAACGUUGUUCGGAAUUACUGGGCGUAAAGCGAGUGUAGGCGGUCUGGUAAGUCGGAUGUGAAAGCCCCGGGCUCAACCCGGGAAGUGCACUCGAUACUGCCAGGCUAGAGUAUCGGAGAGGUUGGUGGAAUUCUCGGUGUAGAGGUGAAAUUCGUAGAUAUCGAGAGGAACACCGGUGGCGAAGGCGGCCAACUGGACGAAUACUGACGCUGAGACUCGAAAGCGUGGGGAGCAAACAGG
RNAcentral lists this ribosomal RNA (253 nucleotides) under uncultured bacterium. RNAcentral describes it as "partial 16S ribosomal RNA". It matches the Rfam family "Bacterial small subunit ribosomal RNA", at positions 524 to 776 of the family's 1533-position model. The record is from RNAcentral.